AGAGUUUGAUCAUGGCUCAGAUUGAACGCUGGCGGCAUGCCUUACACAUGCAAGUCGAACGGCAGCACGGGAGCUUGCUCCUGGUGGCGAGUGGCGAACGGGUGAGUAAUAUAUCGGAACGUACCCUAGAGUGGGGGAUAACGCAGCGAAAGUUGCGCUAAUACCGCAUACGAUCUACGGAUGAAAGUGGGGGAUCGCAAGACCUCAUGCUCAUGGAGCGGCCGAUAUCUGAUUAGCUAGUUGGUAGGGUAAAAGCCUACCAAGGCUUCGAUCAGUAGCUGGUCUGAGAGGACGACCAGCCACACUGGAACUGAGACACGGUCCAGACUCCUACGGGAGGCAGCAGUGGGGAAUUUUGGACAAUGGGCGCAAGCCUGAUCCAGCAAUGCCGCGUGAGUGAAGAAGGCCUUCGGGUUGUAAAGCUCUUUUGUCAGGGAAGAAACGGUGGACUCUAAUACAGAUCACUAAUGACGGUACCUGAAGAAUAAGCACCGGCUAACUACGUGCCAGCAGCCGCGGUAAUACGUAGGGUGCAAGCGUUAAUCGGAAUUACUGGGCGUAAAGCGUGCGCAGGCGGUUGUGCAAGACAGAUGUGAAAUCCCCGGGCUCAACCUGGGAAUUGCAUUUGUGACUGCACGGCUAGAGUGUGUCAGAGGGGGGUAGAAUUCCACGUAUAGCAGUGAAAUGCGUAGAGAUGUGGAGGAAUACCGAUGGCGAAGGCAGCCCCCUGGGAUAACACUGACGCUCAUGCACGAAAGCGUGGGGAGCAAACAGGAUUAGAUACCCUGGUAGUCCACGCCCUAAACGAUGUCUACUAGUUGUUGGGUCUUAAUUGACUUAGUAACGCAGCUAACGCGUGAAGUAGACCGCCUGGGGAGUACGGUCGCAAGAUUAAAACUCAAAGGAAUUGACGGGGACCCGCACAAGCGGUGGAUGAUGUGGAUUAAUUCGAUGCAACGCGAAAAACCUUACCUACCCUUGACAUGUACGGAAUCCCUGAGAGAUUAGGGAGUGCUCGAAAGAGAGCCGUAACACAGGUGCUGCAUGGCUGUCGUCAGCUCGUGUCGUGAGAUGUUGGGUUAAGUCCCGCAACGAGCGCAACCCUUGUCAUUAGUUGCUACGAAAGGGCACUCUAAUGAGACUGCCGGUGACAAACCGGAGGAAGGUGGGGAUGACGUCAAGUCCUCAUGGCCCUUAUGGGUAGGGCUUCACACGUCAUACAAUGGUACAUACAGAGGGCCGCCAACCCGCGAGGGGGAGCUAAUCCCAGAAAGUGUAUCGUAGUCCGGAUUGUAGUCUGCAACUCGACUACAUGAAGUUGGAAUCGCUAGUAAUCGCGGAUCAGCAUGUCGCGGUGAAUACGUUCCCGGGUCUUGUACACACCGCCCGUCACACCAUGGGAGCGGGUUUCACCAGAAGUAGGUAGCCUAACCGUAAGGAGGGCGCUUACCACGGUGGGAUUCGUGACUGGGGUGAAGUCGUAACAAGGUA
This 1491-nucleotide ribosomal RNA is filed under the name metagenome. RNAcentral's name for it is "bacterial SSU rRNA". It matches the Rfam family "Bacterial small subunit ribosomal RNA". The record is from RNAcentral.